AACGAACGCUGGCGGCAGGCCUAACACAUGCAAGUCGAACGCCCCUUCGGGGGAGUGGCAGACGGGUGAGUAACGCGUGGGAACCUACCUGGUGGUACGGGAUAACUUCGGGAAACCGGAGCUAAUACCGCAUACGCCCUUCGGGGGAAAGAUUUAUCGCCAUCAGAUGGGCCCGCGUUGGAUUAGCUAGUUGGUGGGGUAAAAGCCUACCAAGGCGACGAUCCAUAGCUGGUUUGAGAGGAUGAUCAGCCACACUGGGACUGAGACACGGCCCAGACUCCUACGGGAGGCAGCAGUGGGGAAUAUUGGACAAUGGGCGCAAGCCUGAUCCAGCCAUGCCGCGUGAGUGACGAAGGCCUUAGGGUUGUAAAACUCUUUCAGCGGGGAAGAUAAUGACGGUACCCGCAGAAGAAGCCCCGGCUAACUCCGUG
RNAcentral lists this ribosomal RNA (431 nucleotides) under uncultured bacterium. RNAcentral describes it as "bacterial SSU rRNA". It matches the Rfam family "Bacterial small subunit ribosomal RNA", at positions 29 to 507 of the family's 1533-position model. The record is from RNAcentral.